GACGAACGCUGGCGGCGUGCCUAAUACAUGCAAGUUGAGCGCUGAAGGUUGGUACUUGUACCAACUGGAUGAGCAGCGAGCGGGUGAGUAACGCGUGGGGAAUCUGCCUUUGAGCGGGGGGCAACAUUUGGAAACGAAUGCUAAUACCGCAUAAAAACUUUAAACACAAGUUUUAAGUUUGAAAGAUGCAAUUGCAUCACUCAAAGAUGAUCCCGCGUUGUAUUAGCUAGUUGGUGAGGUAAAGGCUCACCAAGGCGAUGAUACAUAGCCGACCUGAGAGGGUGAUCGGCCACAUUGGGACUGAGACACGGCCCAAACUCCUACGGGAGGCAGCAGUAGGGAAUCUUCGGCAAUGGACGAAAGUCUGACCGAGCAACGCCGCGUGAGUGAAGAAGGUUUUCGGAUCGUAAAACUCUGUUGGUAGAGAAGAACGUUGGUGAGAGUGGAAAGCUCAUCAAGUGACGGUAACUACCCAGAAAGGGACGGCUAACUACGUG
Molecule: ribosomal RNA, 497 nt
Filed under: uncultured bacterium
Lineage: Bacteria
Description: partial 16S ribosomal RNA
Rfam family: Bacterial small subunit ribosomal RNA
Source: RNAcentral